RNAcentral lists this ribosomal RNA (207 nucleotides) under uncultured bacterium. RNAcentral's name for it is "partial 16S ribosomal RNA". It matches the Rfam family "Bacterial small subunit ribosomal RNA", at positions 143 to 334 of the family's 1533-position model. The record is from RNAcentral.
AUAACAUUCCGAAAGGAGUGCUAAUACCGUAUAAGACCACGACCUCGAAAGAGGAUGCGGUCAAAGCUGGCCUCUAUACAUAAGCUAGCACUUGAGGAUGAGCCCGCGGCGCAUCAGCUAGUUGGUGGGGUAAUGGCCCACCAAGGCUAAGACGCGUAGCUGGUCUGAGAGGAUGAUCAGCCACACUGGAACUGAGACACGGUCCAG